RNAcentral lists this ribosomal RNA (463 nucleotides) under uncultured bacterium. RNAcentral's name for it is "bacterial SSU rRNA". It matches the Rfam family "Bacterial small subunit ribosomal RNA", at positions 330 to 792 of the family's 1533-position model. The record is from RNAcentral.
UCCAGACUCCUACGGGAGGCAGCAGUGAGGAAUAUUGGUCAAUGGGCGAGAGCCUGAACCAGCCAAGUCGCGUGAGGGAGUACUGCCCUAUGGGUUGUAAACCUCUUUUGUCGGGGAGCAAAAGCCGGACGUGUCCGGCUGUGAGAGUACCCGAAGAAAAAGCAUCGGCUAACUCCGUGCCAGCAGCCGCGGUAAUACGGAGGAUGCGAGCGUUAUCCGGAUUUAUUGGGUUUAAAGGGUGCGCAGGCGGAAGAUCAAGUCAGCGGUAAAAUCGAGAGGCUCAACCUCUUCGAGCCGUUGAAACUGGUUUUCUUGAGUGAGUGAGAAGUAUGCGGAAUGCGUGGUGUAGCGGUGAAAUGCAUAGAUAUCACGCAGAACUCCGAUUGCGAAGGCAGCAUACCGGCGCUCAACUGACGCUCAUGCACGAAAGCGUGGGUAUCGAACAGGAUUAGAUACCCUCGUA